RNAcentral lists this ribosomal RNA (1253 nucleotides) under uncultured Sebacina. Its description in RNAcentral is "eukaryotic LSU rRNA". The stretch from base 579 to 1253 matches the Rfam family "Eukaryotic large subunit ribosomal RNA", at positions 1 to 656 of the family's 3401-position model. The record is from RNAcentral. Lineage: Eukaryota; Fungi; Basidiomycota; Agaricomycetes; Sebacinales; Sebacinaceae.
UUCCGUAGGUGAACCUGCGGAAGGAUCAUUAAUGAAACUUCAAAGUCGGCCGAGGUUGUUGCUGGUGGGUAAAACCACAUGUGCACACUCGGUCGCAAAUCCACACACACCUGUGCAUCUAUGACUCGAGGUUGUAACRACCAAGAGUACUUUUUAUACACUCUGAAUGUAAUGGAAUGUCUUUUUGUGCGAAAUGUACAAAUUAUAAACAACUUUCAACAACGGAUCUCUUGGCUCUCGCAUCGAUGAAGAACGCAGCGAAAUGCGAUAAGUAAUGUGAAUUGCAGAAUUCAGUGAAUCAUCGAAUCUUUGAACGCACCUUGCACCCUUUGGUAUUCCGAAGGGUACGCCCGUUUGAGUGUCAUUGUAAUCUCAUAUUUUCGACUUUUUUGUCGUAAAUAUGGACUUGGAUGUUGCCGUUUUACUUACGGCUCGUCUCAAAUGCCUGAGUGUACCCUGCUGUGCAGCGUAUCCGGUGUGAUAAACAUUUCACCAGAGUUGGUCGCAAGACCGCGCUUUUGCUAUAGUCAUGGCUCUAUGCUUUCGAACCGUCCCUCACAGGACAAUCUCUGACAAUUUGACCUCAAAUCGGGUGGGACUACCCGCUGAACUUAAGCAUAUCAAUAAGCGGAGGAAAAGAAACUAACAAGGAUUCCCCUAGUAACGGCGAGUGAAGAGGGAAAAGCUCAAAUUUUGAAUCUGGUGUCUUUGACUCCCGAGUUGUAAUCUAGAGAAGUGUUUUCCGUGUCGGACCGUGUACAAGUUCCCUGGAACGGGGCGUCAUAGAGGGUGAGAAUCCCGUAUAUGCCACGGACUACCGAUGCUCUGUGAUACACUCUCAACGAGUCGAGUUGUUUGGGAAUGCAGCUCAAAAUGGGUGGUAAAUUCCAUCUAAAGCUAAAUAUUGGCGAGAGACCGAUAGCGAACAAGUACCGUGAGGGAAAGAUGAAAAGCACUUUGGAAAGAGAGUGAAACAGUACGUGAAAUUGUUGAAAGGGAAGCGUUUGAAGUCAGUCACGUUUGUUGGGAUUCAGCCUGGCUUUUGCCUGGUGUAUUUCCUUUCCGACGGGUCAGCAUCAGUUUUGACCGAGGGAAAAAGACAUUUGGAAUGUGGCUGUCUUCGGGCAGUGUUAUAGCCUUUUGUUGUAUGUCUCGGUUGGGACUGAGGAACGCAGCGCGCCUUAUGGCCGGGGGUCGCUCCUCUCGACACGCGCUUAGGAUGCUGGCAUAAUGGCUUUAAGCGACCCGUCUUG